CGUAACAAGGUCUCCGUAGGUGAACCUGCGGNNNNAUCAUUACACAAAUAUGAAGGCGGGCUGGAACCUCUCGGGGUUACAGCCUUGCUGAAUUAUUCACCCUUGUCUUUUGCGUACUUCUUGUUUCCUUGGUGGGUUCGCCCACCACUAGGACAAACAUAAACCUUUUGUAAUUGCAAUCAGCGUCAGUAACAAAUUAAUAAUUACAACUUUCAACAACGGAUCUCUUGGUUCUGGCAUCGAUGAAGAACGCAGCGAAAUGCGAUAAGUAGUGUGAAUUGCAGAAUUCAGUAAAUCAUCGAAUCUUUGAACGCACAUUGCGCCCUUUGGUAUUCCAAAGGGCAUGCCUGUUCGAGCGUCAUUUGUACCCUCAAGCUUUGCUUGGUGUUGGGUGUCUUGUCUCUAGCUUUGCUGGAGACUCGCCUUAAAGUAAUUGGCAGCCGGCCUACUGGUUUCGGAGCGCAGCACAAGUCGCACUCUCUAUCAGCAAAGGUCUAGCAUCCAUUAAGCCUUUUUUUCAACUUUUGACCUCGGAUCAGGUAGGGAUACCCGCUGAACUUAAGCAUAUCA
This 570-nucleotide ribosomal RNA is filed under the name uncultured fungus. RNAcentral describes it as "eukaryotic LSU rRNA". The stretch from base 208 to 361 matches the Rfam family "5.8S ribosomal RNA". The record is from RNAcentral. Lineage: Eukaryota; Fungi.